CGACCUUCUGGUUUCGAUUUAUCGCGUCUAGUCUGGCCGCGAUAAGUCGAACCCAGAAGUUCGAUUUCCAGCCGUCGAACUUGCCGGUAAGUGUAGCCAAGGCCUAAGCUUCAUUGAUGGCAGGGAAUGGCUUCCUCAAGUUAAGAUGUCAAAGCAGUGGCCCGCUAGGGGGGCAGCCUGAAGUGAAGAGGAGGACACGGCAUGAUGUCAGGACUGGCUGGAGCCUACCACCAGACAAAGGAGGGAUCAAAGGGACAGGCAUAGAAGAAGGGAAAGUCAGGGGGGCCCUUCUGUAGUGAGAAGAAAAGGAUUGCAUUUCUCACCCCUCAGCCAUAGAGCUUUCACAGAAAAGAGACAAAGAGAGGGGAUAAAGCAGGAUGGUUCAUUCCAUCCUUGUCCUGUCUGCUGGGAUGGCCAUUGUACCGACCCUCACCUUGUGUCACUGAACUCUAGAUCUCCAUGAUAGGUCUCUACCACCAUGUGACACCAUCAGGGGUGCAGAUUGCGUUAUGGAUACCUGCCAAUUGAGAAAUGAUUCAAGAACUCUCAACCUACUAUGAACAGGCGAUGAAACAGUAAUAACCCUUGGUCCCUACUAUCGUAGGUGGGAUUGGAAAGGGCAGUCUACAGGCGAAAGGCUCUGUAGCCUAGCACGAAGCCUUCCAGCCAUCUACGAACAUGAUGAUACUUAAUUCAACUACAUUUACAGACAAUGCGGUAAAGUGGCUGUAGGAUGUGAGCAAAGACCUGAGAAAUGCUGGAUGGAUUAAAGAUUGCACCAACGAUAAGCCUCAUUUGUCCUCCUAAGCCUGGCCAAUGUAGAAUGUACUCCGUUAACAGAGUUACAGCUUGUAAAAAUGAAGCUUUAACACUGCACUACCUUUUAUGAGCUGGAUCUUCAAUUAAACCCCGUUUUCAAUGAUUAGAAUUGUGAUUUUAAAACAAUUAAAUGGAAAGUGAGUCAGAUUUCUCCAGGAUAAACGUAUCACCAAAAGAGCAGAGGGAUGUUUUCAGACCAGUACAUAGUUGUUAAAUUCUGAUGGAACUUGAUCAGAUUAAGCACUGCAAAAAACAACAACAACAACAAAAGGAGAAGCUUCAGCAUCAGAUCUUCAGGGGGUCAACCAGAUUUCAUCGCUCUCACAUAACCUUCAACCCUGCACUUUACUCCAGGUAAUCAGACCUCC
RNAcentral lists this long non-coding RNA (1187 nucleotides) under Chrysemys picta bellii (western painted turtle). RNAcentral describes it as "lncRNA (ENSCPBG00000009589.1)". Lineage: Eukaryota; Metazoa; Chordata; Testudines; Emydidae. The record is from RNAcentral.